GACUUGGAGGAUUCAUCGGACCUCCCGAUGGCAUACUCUCAGUCAUUUUCCAAUCUUCUAACAAAGACAACACUCUUUGGCAGAUUUAGUCACACCCGGCCACAUCUUCCGGGGUAGGCAGCUUCUCGGAUUGUGCCUGCUCAGCUGCUUCAUGCACUUGUAAGUGAGGAACUGAAGCGGCCAUUUCUACCUCUUCGACUACCAUGGCUACGGAAGGUUCGGCUCUAUCAUCGGGGACUUGUGUUUCCAUUACUGCCAGUUCUGUAGGCGGACUAACAUAGUCAUGUAAUGGCGACAAGUCAUUGUCGCCUCCUUCAUUCAUAUGAGGACUACCGAGGUCCUCAUGUCCUUCUCCACCUUCAUUCACCCCACCAUUUCAUUUUUUCGGCUGCUCUAUCUCCAC
RNAcentral lists this long non-coding RNA (403 nucleotides) under Prunus persica (peach). RNAcentral describes it as "long non-coding RNA (PPER_LNC004210)". The record is from RNAcentral. Lineage: Eukaryota; Viridiplantae; Streptophyta; Magnoliopsida; Rosales; Rosaceae.